Molecule: non-coding RNA, 1682 nt
Organism: Camellia sinensis
Lineage: Eukaryota; Viridiplantae; Streptophyta; Magnoliopsida; Ericales; Theaceae
Source: RefSeq, a predicted model, not a curated record
AUCGGAUAAAACUAGAAGAGGGAGAAGAGAGAGGGUUUGAACCCUCCUUAUGUCUCUACAAAAACUCUUCAAACCCCUACCCUCUCUCUCCAUCAGACCCCAAAUCCCAAACCCUUCUCUCUCUCUUUUUCAUCUCUCUGCAAAAACUCUUCAAAACCCUCACUCUCUCUCUCUCUCUCUCUCUCCAUCAGACCCCAAAUCCCAAUCCCAAACCCAAACCCCAACCGGCAUAACAACGAGUGAGAAGGAGAAGAUGGACAAAGAAAAUACACACAGACAGAGCUCUGAGCUAAAAGAAAAGAACGAAGAAAGAGAAGUAACGACGGAGAGAAAAGACGGCCGAAAGGAGAUGGAAGGGACGAACGCACGCAAAGAACACUUCCAUCCUUUAACCAGGACUGCAUAAAGGUUUUACAAAAGAAAUUCUCUGAGAGCAAGAGGGUUGCAUGGUGGUGAGGAAAAACUGAGUAUGGCAUUUGGUGCUGAAUUGGAAAAGCUUCCAAAUGUGAGGUGAUAUUUUUUUUUUUCAUGUUUAUAUGUAAUUUAGAAUGAAUAAUCAUUUCAAUGCCUGUUUUCCACACAUCCUAGAAGAAAAACAGAGGAAAAGAAACAAAGCCCUAAGCAGCUUGUUAUGUCCACUAUUUCUUUUCAUGUUUAUAUGGAAUUUAGAAUGAAUUUAUAGUGGCCUAAGUUCCAAUUAAAGGAAGAUGAAGAAACCUCUAGAAAUGAUCCUAUAGGGGAUACCAUGAAGGUGAUAAGAGACCCAAAAGGUGAAGGAUUGUUCAAAACCCAAGUGUUGUUUUUAUGUUUUUGUACAUUGAAGGUUGUGUUAUGAUGCCCUCAUUUUCACUUUCACAUUUGAACUUUUUGUUGUUAAAUUUCAAUUUUGUGUUGCACUGGUUGACUAAUUUAUACAUCAAAAUCUUACUUAAAGGGCAUCGAACAACUGACAUUACAAUCAAUUAGCAAGGUUAGCAUCACCACAUCACGCCAAAAUACUCACAAUACAAACUUAAUGGUUUGUUUGAAGAUUCUUAUUCAUUUCCCUCUAGAAACGUUGCAACAAAAGAGGUAACUUCAUUAAAGGUAACUUCAUUUGAGGUAAGAAAAAAAAAAAGGUUUUGCUUUAUGUGGAUUUUAUUUGCAUAUACGUUGAGACUAUUGAGAUCUUGAAUUUUUGCUAAUUUUUCAUUAUGACAUUGCUUUUAUGGGGCCAUUGGAUUAUCUUAUUAAUUUUGGAAAUAUUUUGUUGAUGUUUUAAAAUUUGUUGAUCAUUUCUUAAUACCUAACGAUAUAUUUUUGUCCCUGAGUCAUUAGUUUUUGUACUUAUGUGAAGUUUCCUUUGUCAUGCAGAUAAGAAAUGCAAGAGGAUUAGUUGCUCCAGCUAUUGCUGUGGGUUUAGGUGCCUUAACACAUAUAUUGGCACCCUCAUCCCUGUGAUAGAAGCAAGUGGAUUUGCUACAGUUAUAGCUGUAAUUGCUAUAGGAACUAUUGUUGGUAGUUUUAGAUAAUCUCUUAAUAGUUGUUGAUAUGUUCAGAAAGUUAGAUAUGUAUAGUUUUGGAUGGUUAAAACUUUUUGCACAGUUUAGAACUUAAGGAUAUAGUUUUUAAAUGUUUAGAAUGUAUAGACAAUUGUUGAAUGUUUAUAAUUUAUGGAUAUAAUUUCUUUUUGAUGUUUCAAA